RNAcentral lists this ribosomal RNA (891 nucleotides) under uncultured organism. RNAcentral describes it as "bacterial SSU rRNA". It matches the Rfam family "Bacterial small subunit ribosomal RNA", at positions 586 to 1490 of the family's 1533-position model. The record is from RNAcentral.
AGUCAGAGGUGAAAGUCGGUUGCUUAACGAUCGAAUUGCCUUUGAAACUGUCAGACUUGAGUAUGGAUGCGGUAGNCGGAAUGUGUAGUGUAGCGGUGAAAUGCAUAGAUAUUACACAGAACACCGAUUGCGAAAGCAGCUUACCAAACCAGCACUGACGCUGAAGCACGAAAGCGUGGGUAGCGAACAGGAUUAGAUACCCUGGUAGUCCACGCAGUAAACGAUGCUCACUCGCUGUUGGCAAUAGAUCGUCAGCGGCUAAGGGAAACCGAUAAGUGAGCCACCUGGGGAGUACGAUCGCAAGAUUGAAACUCAAAGGAAUUGACGGGGGCUCGCACAAGCGGUGGAACAUGUGGUUUAAUUCGAUGAUACGCGAGGAACCUUACCUGGGCUUAAAUGUACGAUGCAUAAGUGUGAAAGCACUUUUUCCUUCGGGACUUUGUACAAGGUGCUGCAUGGUUGUCGUCAGCUCGUGCCGUGAGGUGUCGGGUUAAGUCCCAUAACGAGCGCAACCCCUAUUGUUAGUUACCAGCGCGUAAAGGCGGGGACUCUAGCGAAACUGCCGGUGUAAACCGCGAGGAAGGUGGGGAUGACGUCAAAUCAGCACGGCCCUUAUGUCCAGGGCUACACACGUGUUACAAUGGCCGGUACAGCGGGCAGCGAGGCAGCGAUGCCGAGCGAAUCUCGAAAGCCGGUCCCAGUUCGGAUUGGAGUCUGCAACCCGACUCCAUGAAGGUGGAAUCGCUAGUAAUCGCGCAUCAGCCAUGGCGCGGUGAAUACGUUCCCGGGCCUUGUACACACCGCCCGUCAAGCCAUGGAAGUCUGGGGUGCCUGAAGGCCGUAACCGCGAGGAGCGGUCUAGGGUAAACAAAUACNUGGGGCUAAGUCGUA